GCCCACGCCUGAUCUACACUGAUUGAAGUGGAUUUAACAUGUGACAUCAAUAAGGGAUCACUGCUUUCACCUGGUCAGUCUGUCAUGGAAAUGUUUUGUACACUCAGUGUAUACAUGUCUCUGAGAGAACAGUUAGCAGGAGAUGAAGACGAUGUAUUGUACACCAGAGAUUUUAAAGUGCUACUGAACACCAGUUCUGGGUUCAAAGUGGUGGAGGGUGCUGACCUCAUCAUUGAGUGUGCCCAUAACCUGCCGGUGGAACCAAAAAUCCCGCUGGUGUUUGUCUGGCUGAUGGAUGGCGUCUCCCUGACGGGCGAGAACAGUAGCCAGCUCACCGUGAAGAAGGUCGGCAUAGCUACCUCUGGCAAGAAUAAAUACGCCUGCACCAUCCAGAGUCCCUGUGGCAACUUCACCUCAGAUCCAAAGGAGAUUGAAUUUGAAGACACGACGCUGUUGGUCAUAGUGAUCUGUGGUGUGUCUGCUGUGGUGCUGAUCCUGGCCAUGGGUAUAGGCAUGAAGAUCAUGCUGAAGAAGGAAUUUGCAAAGACCAAGAACAGGAGGCAGCAGAAUGCUCAGAACCUACAGAGAACUACCACAACAGAGUAGUGUUUCAUUUUCUGCAAAUUCCACCAAAUGUCCUUCAUGCGAAAAUGGCAAAAAUCUGACAUGAUUACACUGUGAAUGGAGAAAUAUGUAGCUAACAAUUUAUAGUUGUAUUUGCUGCAAUUUAAUCAACAUAACACUGACGUUGAGAUAAUUUUAUGAUGGAAGAGCCACAGAUGCAUAUGUUAAUCCUCUGGCAGUGACACACAGCUAGUUUGGAGAUUUGUCCCAAUAAAUAAUAUGCCAAAUUCAUGAUAUUUAAUAAUAAACAUUUACAUGUGGAUGAUGUUUCUAUUUAUAUAAUGAAUGGGGCCUAACAUAAGUGUCCAGAGGCUGCGUGUAGCCUACACAUGAUAGUCAGCAGUUACAUUUAUAGAAGCCAGGUAAGUAGGCUAAGUGAUGUUUUCUAUUGGGUACUUUAUGUAGAGUAGCCUAAAAAUAGUAAAAUAAUAAAUAAAAUAGCUGCUAGCGUUGUGACGACGUCAAUAAUGAAUGACGCAAGAGUUGUCCAGUUCCUGCAGCUAUCCCCACUUCACAUUAGUGCAGCAUAGAACUCAUAUAUUACUGAGCCCGAGUAGCCGUCAUUUUUUUUCUCUGCCAUCUGGAAGGUGCUUGGUUGAGAAAUCUAUGGCUACUGACCAGAUCAACAUGCCUACAUUCUCAGCAAUCUACACACAAUACCCC
This 1287-nucleotide long non-coding RNA is filed under the name Salmo salar (Atlantic salmon). RNAcentral's name for it is "lncRNA (ENSSSAG00000084336.1, ENSSSAG00000087286.1)". Lineage: Eukaryota; Metazoa; Chordata; Actinopteri; Salmoniformes; Salmonidae. The record is from RNAcentral.